Molecule: ribosomal RNA, 259 nt
Filed under: uncultured bacterium
Lineage: Bacteria
Description: partial 16S ribosomal RNA
Rfam family: Bacterial small subunit ribosomal RNA
Source: RNAcentral
GACAGAGGGUGCAAACGUUGUGCUCGGAAUUACUGGGCGUAAAGAGCUCGAUAGGCGGCUUGUCGCGUCGAAUGUGAAAACCCACGGCUCAAACUGUGGGCUUGCAUUCGAUACGGGCAGGCUAGAGUUCGGUAGGGGAGACUGGAAUUCCAUGGUGUAGCGGUGAAAUGCGCAGAUAUCAGGAGGAACACCGGUGGCGAAGGCGGGUCUCUAGUACGGUACUGACGCGUGAGACGCGAAAGCGUGGGGAGCAAACAGG